ACUACUGUGGAACUGAAGAACAAAAAGUGGAGGAUAAGGAGCAAAUAACUUCUAAAUAUAUUUAUAUCUACAGCAACAUCACAACAAGAAUCAUAUUCAAUGCAGAACCGAAUGCGACCUCUUGCCCCAAGAUGCUUCAGGACUGUAAUGAGUGCUGGAUUCUGAUCUUCUGUCUGUGUCCAGUUGUAUCUAUUGUCUCCUCUCUCCUCUCCUCACUUGUGGUCUAUCACUGCUGUAAGAAGGCUGAAGAACAUCCUGUUGAUCAGCAAAGACCUGACACUAGAGGUCAUCCAAGACAGAGCCAGGAUGACGAUGUGUGCUAUGCUGCUGUGGAAAUCCGUCAGAAAUCAAAGAGACCAAAGAAGAAGAAGGAACCGCAGACUUCUGACUUCUGCACCUAUUCUGCUCUUAAUACAUCUAAGAUGUAACAGGCCUAAGACCAGAGGAAUAAAAAAAAUGAAUUUUAUAAUGUUGAUAUAUAUAGACCAUUCUGUCAUUGCAUAGUUCAAACAUUGCUGGCUGUAUUAACCACAACAUUCAUCACGGAAAAUAUGCGUCAUGUGGUCUUAUUUCCUUGCGCCACUGAGAUGAAUUUUGAAAAUUAAAGGAGCCGUAAAAAUCAGAAAUGAAGAACAAUCUCAUAAGUGUUUGUCGUGGUUGAUUACACUUCAUCUUCAGAAUCUUUAUAUUCUUAAUUGAGAUCAAUUUCAUAAAGUUUGUAAUGGCUGCUGGUCUGAAUCUAGACUGUUCUCUGGCAAUUUCCUGUUUUUAUCUCAAGCUAACCAUCAACCAUGAUGCUUUGCCUGUGCAGUCUGAUGCAAUACAAGUAUCAAUUAUGUUGGAGCUGAUUCUGUUAAAGAUACUAAAACCUUUAUCCUCUUUUUUGUGUAAAGGGAAUACAUAUAAAAGCUCGCAACACAAGACAGAUACUGUAACAUUUUCUUAUAGCUUCUUCAAGACCCUGACCCAAUGUUUGCAAGACAUCCCAUGAAAACAAAGAGUAAACAACAAAGUCAACUUAUAACACAUGAUGUAGCACCCUGGCAUCAGUCCGGCUCACAGGAAACCCACACUGACAAAAAAGCCCCUCAUACGACGGCACAGCUCAUCACACAGGCACACUGAAGCUGCAGGUUAGUUCACAGCUUCGUUGUCAAGGUUCACACUUUAUGGUGGCAAGACAGAUAGUGACUGAAGAAAGACCCAAGCACAUGCGCACAAAGCAUAACCAGCCAAGGGUGCAAAAAAAGAGUGUGAGUCUGACACUGUCUCUGAGAACGAUCAGUAAGUAUAAAGUACUAAAGCUUUUUCAUUAAAGAGCCGUAACUAAGCUCAACCUUCAUCACGUCUUUGUGCAUUCAUAUUGAUUUUGUGACAGCGUGAUAUUGG
This is a long non-coding RNA of Labrus bergylta (ballan wrasse), 1389 nucleotides long. RefSeq lists it as uncharacterized. The record is from RefSeq and is a predicted model, not a curated record. NCBI's taxonomy places the organism in Eukaryota, Metazoa, Chordata, Actinopteri, Labriformes, Labridae.